AUACGUAGGUGACAAGCGUUAUCCGGAUUGACUGGGCGUAAAGGGCGUGUAGGCGGUCUUGCAAGUCAGAAGUGAAAUUCCUGAGCUCAACUCGGGCGCUGCUUCUGAAACUGCAGGACUUGAGUGCUGGAGGGGAUAGCGGAAUUCCUAGUGGAGCGGUAAAAUGCGCAGAUAUUAGGAAGAACACCGGUGACGAAGGCGCCUAUCUGGACAGUAACUGACGUUGAGGCGCGAAAGCGUGGGGAGCAACCAGGAUUAGAUACCCUGGUGUUCCACGCCGUAAACGAUGAAUACUAGGUGUAGGGGGCAUCGACUCCCUCUGUGCCGCAGUUAACACAAUAAGUAUUCCGCCUGGGGAGUGCGGCCGCAAGGUUGAAACUCAAAUGAAUUGACGGGG
RNAcentral lists this ribosomal RNA (397 nucleotides) under uncultured bacterium. Its description in RNAcentral is "partial 16S ribosomal RNA". It matches the Rfam family "Bacterial small subunit ribosomal RNA", at positions 523 to 918 of the family's 1533-position model. The record is from RNAcentral.